Molecule: transfer RNA, 71 nt
Filed under: Rhizobiales bacterium PAR1
Lineage: Bacteria; Pseudomonadati; Pseudomonadota; Alphaproteobacteria; Hyphomicrobiales
Description: tRNA-Ser
Source: RNAcentral
GGGGCCAAAAAUUGGAAGUAACAACCUUGCCAAGGUUGGGGUCAAGGGUUCGAAUCCCUUUACCCGCUCCA